RNAcentral lists this transfer RNA (61 nucleotides) under Batracobdella cancricola. RNAcentral's name for it is "tRNA-Ala". The record is from RNAcentral. Lineage: Eukaryota; Metazoa; Annelida; Clitellata; Rhynchobdellida; Glossiphoniidae.
UGCAACUUAGUUUAAAUAGAACAAUUAAUUUGCAUUUAAUAAGUGAAUUCAAUUCAGUAGC